This 442-nucleotide ribosomal RNA is filed under the name uncultured bacterium. RNAcentral's name for it is "partial 16S ribosomal RNA". It matches the Rfam family "Bacterial small subunit ribosomal RNA", at positions 338 to 795 of the family's 1533-position model. The record is from RNAcentral.
CCUACGGGGGGCAGCAGUGGGGAAUAUUGGGCAAUGGGCGCAAGCCUGACCCAGCAACGCCGCGUGAAGGAAGAAGGCUUUCGGGUUGUAAACUUCUUUUGACAGGGAAGAGCAGAAGACGGUACCUGUCGAAUAAGCCACGGCUAACUACGUGCCAGCAGCCGCGGUAAUACGUAGGUGGCAAGCGUUGUCCGGAUUUACUGGGUGUAACGGGCGUGUAGCCGGGCUGACAAGUCAGAUGUGAAAUCCGGGGGCUCAAACCCCGAACUGCAUUUGAAACUGUUGGUCUUGAGGAUCGGAGAGGCAGGCGGAAUUUCUAGUGUAGCGGGGAAAUGCGAAGAUAUUAGGAGGAACACCAGUGGCGAAGGCGGCCUGCUGGACGACAACGGACGGUGAGGCGCGAAAGCGUGGGGAGCGAACAGGAUUAGAUACCCCUGUAGUC